This 823-nucleotide long non-coding RNA is filed under the name Portunus trituberculatus (swimming crab). RNAcentral's name for it is "uncharacterized LOC123515770, transcript variant X2". The record is from RNAcentral. Lineage: Eukaryota; Metazoa; Arthropoda; Malacostraca; Decapoda; Portunidae.
GCAGUGCUGCAUCGCCUGUUACGUGUAGCUACGAGUGCUCCUCCCUCUCCCCACAUUGGCAUGUAUAAAGGAGGGCAAGGAGGCAAGGGUAGUCAGCUUGCUCCAGCGACAGUCCACUGAGCAGUGACAACGUCCUCGUCUGGUGUUCAAUUUCUUCGUGAAGAAGCAUGUUUAGAGCCUCAAGGGUUAUGGUGGAGGGAGUGCUCUGCCUCUUAGUGAUGAUACUCCAUUCGCAUGUCCAUGUCCAUGCGAGUGGUAACAAUCCUUCUUAUACAUUGGAAGUACAUAACCUGUAUGGUGGAGAUUGCGUGACCAUCAAGUAUCCAUGCAAAGGCCAAACUGAAGGAUGUAAUCCUUUCUGUACGAGGGGCAUCGACAAGCACAAAUUCAUAUGCAAAUGUCAAUCUAAUGGUAGUCCGGGUCGUAUGAUGGCCGAUUUAACGACAAAUGGCAACCCCACCUGUGACGAACAAAAGUUGGUGGCGCAGUACGACGGAAUUAUCGACAAGAACUUAUGUGGAACGGAUACCAAGGACAUUUCAACUUCGGGAGACAGAAUCAUUAUUGCAUUGAAGGAUUACCAGAAUCCCAGUUUCUUUGAUGAAAGUGGCGAGUGCUCCUGUAGCGACCAUUGUAAAUGUAGUUAUACAGCAUGUUGUGUGGCUGAUUAGAAACCACAGUAUGCAUCGGUGCUUAAUGUUUACUGAUAAUUGAUGCAAUAAUGAUGAUGAUGAUGAUCAUAAAAGUAAGAAUGUUAAUGAUAAUAUUACCAGGGCAUUACUGCAUGUUGACACAUUAGCACAGAUAAAUAUUAACUGAAAAA